AAGGGCACGAGGUUGAAGGACCUAGGGAGCUGCACAGCGGGGCCAGGUGGCAGGGAAAGAGUCGCAGCUGUGCCCCUGCCUCGUCUUGUCGCCCUGGAACCUCUCAUGUGCAAACCGAGGACCUUGUAGGUGACCUCACGGGCCC
Molecule: microRNA precursor, 145 nt
Organism: Equus caballus (horse)
Lineage: Eukaryota; Metazoa; Chordata; Mammalia; Perissodactyla; Equidae
Source: Ensembl